This 254-nucleotide ribosomal RNA is filed under the name uncultured prokaryote. RNAcentral's name for it is "partial 16S ribosomal RNA". It matches the Rfam family "Bacterial small subunit ribosomal RNA", at positions 524 to 777 of the family's 1533-position model. The record is from RNAcentral.
UACGGAGGAUGCGAGUGUUAUCCGGAUUUAUUGGGUUUAAAGGGUGCGUAGGCGGCUUUUUAAGUCAGCGGUGAAAUUUUGCAGCUUAACUGUAACAGUGCCGUUGAUACUGGGGAGCUAGGAUUUGGUUGCUGUGGGUGGAAUGUGUGGUGUAGCGGUGAAAUGCUUAGAGAUCACACAGAAUAUCGAUUGCGAAGGCAGCUCACAAAGCCAAGAUUGACGCUGAGGCACGAAAGUGUGGGGAUCAAACAGGA